GACGAACCGUCCAAACGUUGUUCGGAAUAACUGGGCUUAAAGGGCGCGUAGGCGGGGCAGCAAGUCAGGGGUGAAAUCCCACGGCUCAACCGUGGAAGAGCCUGUGAUACUGCUGUUCUAGAGGGAGGUAGGGGCGUGCGGAACUUCCGGUGGAGCGGUGAAAUGCGUAGAUAUCGGAAGGAACACCGGUGGCGAAAGCGGCGCGCUGGACCUCUUCUGACGCUGAGGCGCGAAAGCUAGGGGAGCAAACGGG
This 253-nucleotide ribosomal RNA is filed under the name uncultured bacterium. Its description in RNAcentral is "partial 16S ribosomal RNA". It matches the Rfam family "Bacterial small subunit ribosomal RNA", at positions 524 to 776 of the family's 1533-position model. The record is from RNAcentral.